GGCUCUACAUUUUCAUACUCGAGAAAGAAAGGGCUUGUUUCCUUUAUAUUACAGUCUAUUGUAGAACACUAACCAAUUUCUAAUACAUAAAAAUGCAGAGCCUAAGAGGGCGCAAUUGAUGGACAACACGUGAAUAUUCCAGUACAACCCUUUGUUGGUCCCAAGGGACUGAGGAGGCUAGGUUAGCUGAAAGAUAUUUAUCAGCAAAGGGGACAACGGGUCGAAGAAAUUGAUCAUAUAACAAUAAGUGCAACAAUUGGCAGACCCCCUAGGACAUCAGAACUCUUCACUAUUACUACAAUAUUAUCACUAGUUAAAAUACUAUAGGGAAUAAAAAAUCUAUUUUGAGGUUCAAUCUUGCAUUAUUCAGUUGGAGAGUCGGAUUUGUGCAAUUGAUAAAUCAGAGUAGACUUGAUUAUUCAGCUGGAGAGUCAGACCGGAUUCUCUCGUACAAUUGAUAAAUCAAAGUUGACUUGGACAUCUGGGGUUCUCUUUCCAGCGCUGCAAUUACAUCCUUAACAGAGAUAGAGUGAGCAACCCUGACCUGAGGCACACUUUGGUUCCUUCCAAUUUUCCUAACAGCCCUUGAUGCAAAUGCCGAGCUCCUUUUUUCUGGUUCUUGAUUAUCCUUUAUAUUUCUUCCAGUUGUUGACAGAGACUUUUCUUUAGAUGACUGGGAACUGGAUGUUGCUUCCGUCCCACCUUCACGNNCGUCCUUCCUCAGCCAUGAGUUGCCAUUUUGACAGCAUGUCAUCUCCACCAACAGCGGCUCGAGCAGCAACAUUUGCAGCUGUUGUCCUCAUUUUGUCAUCCUCC
RNAcentral lists this unclassified non-coding RNA (816 nucleotides) under Hevea brasiliensis (rubber tree). The record is from RNAcentral. Lineage: Eukaryota; Viridiplantae; Streptophyta; Magnoliopsida; Malpighiales; Euphorbiaceae.